This is a non-coding RNA of Danio rerio (zebrafish), 71 nucleotides long. NCBI's taxonomy places the organism in Eukaryota, Metazoa, Chordata, Actinopteri, Cypriniformes, Danionidae. The record is from Ensembl.
CAAGACGUGGCUGAACAGUUAAGCAUCUCACUUACACCGAGAAAACAUCCGUGCAAAUCGGAUCGUCCUGA